RNAcentral lists this long non-coding RNA (691 nucleotides) under Volvox carteri. RNAcentral's name for it is "long non-coding RNA (VCAR_LNC002402)". The record is from RNAcentral. Lineage: Eukaryota; Viridiplantae; Chlorophyta; Chlorophyceae; Chlamydomonadales; Volvocaceae.
UCCUUUCGUUGUCUCAAAUGUUUCCAUAAGCAUUUCAUUGAAACAGAAGAAGGAUCCAUCAGAAAUAAAAAGGCAAUGUGAGAGUCCUGAACGGCCUGCCCAGCUUUGCGUCACUUCAAUCCCAGCGACUGGACACGUGAGCAUUUGACAACAGACCGGGAUUUUCAGCGCGCAACACGCGCGAUGAUUGCGAGCAAGGGCAGGAGCGCGCAGCUGCUGCGCCAGCUUCCGGCAGGACUCCGCGCAGCGGUUGUUUCACGUCCUUCUGACUUGCUUGUAAUCCCAGAGCGCACCUACGCAACUGACUCGUCAACUUUAAGUGACCAUGGCGAGGGUGCCGAGGAAAAAGCAGCGCUGGAGCACCGGAAGCGACGUAGCGUCGAAACAUACCUGGUAACAUCUCGCACCGUGCACAGUCCCCUGACCUGAACUGGAUUUCUUUUUCUAUUCCGAAAUACGGAAAAGUCAUGUCGCGUCAUGUCCUCCGGGAUCAGUUCCCCCGUAGAAAUACUCUAUCGCGGCCGGGGGAAGGAAAUGGAUAGAUCCAUACCCGUUGUGCAUGCCACCUUAGGCGCAAGAGCUUGGUGGGGGCGACACCGACCGCGCAACCCUGGCGGUCCUGCUGCAGCGUCACGGCGUUGUCGUACGGGGCGGCCCCGCGGACGCACUAAGGCUCAUGGAGGCGCUAACG